CCUACGGGAGGCAGCAGUCGAGAAUCAUUCACAAUGGGGGAAACCCUGAUGGUGCGACGCCGCGUGGGGGAAUGAAGGUCUUCGGUUUGUAAACCCCUGUCAUGUGGGAGCAAAUUAAAAAGAUCGUACCACAAGAGGCAGAGCCGGCUAACUCUGUGCCAGCAGCCGCGGUAAUACAGAGGUAGCAAGCGUUGUUCGGAAUCACUGGGCGGAAGGCGUGGGUAGGCUGGUUGGUAAGUCGUGUGUGAAAGGCGCGGGCUCAACCCGCGGACGGCACAUGAUACUGCGAGACUAGAGUAAUGGAGGGGGCAUCGGAAUUCUCGGUGUAGCAGUGAAAUGCGUAGAUAUCGAGAGGAACACUAGUGGCGAAGGCGGGUUCCUGGACAGUAACUGACGCUGAGGCACGAAGGCCAGGGGAGCGAAAGGGAUUAGAUACCCUUGUAGUC
RNAcentral lists this ribosomal RNA (446 nucleotides) under uncultured bacterium. RNAcentral describes it as "partial 16S ribosomal RNA". It matches the Rfam family "Bacterial small subunit ribosomal RNA", at positions 338 to 795 of the family's 1533-position model. The record is from RNAcentral.